GUGAAUCAUCGAAUUUUUGAACGCAAAUUGCACUCUCUUCGGAGAGUAUGCCUGUUUGAGGGUCAGCCUAAAAAAAUCGACAACGGUGCUGUUUCGCGGUGGCGUUCGGCGGAAAUUGGGUUAUUUUAAAUUUUUGGUUUUAGCGACUUAAAAUUUUCUUUACGUUUUUAUGUACGUUUCUAA
This 183-nucleotide unclassified non-coding RNA is filed under the name Glomus sp. RNAcentral describes it as "partial contains 5.8S ribosomal RNA and internal transcribed spacer 2". The stretch from base 1 to 65 matches the Rfam family "5.8S ribosomal RNA", at positions 84 to 154 of the family's 154-position model. The record is from RNAcentral. Lineage: Eukaryota; Fungi; Glomeromycota; Glomeromycetes; Glomerales; Glomeraceae.